This 2875-nucleotide long non-coding RNA is filed under the name Sinocyclocheilus anshuiensis. RNAcentral describes it as "lncRNA (ENSSANG00000035450.1)". The record is from RNAcentral. Lineage: Eukaryota; Metazoa; Chordata; Actinopteri; Cypriniformes; Cyprinidae.
UAGUCACAGAAAGAGAUCCCACCAGCUCCAUCAACAAAUGUACAGGAAGCACCCAAGGCACCUCCUCCUCCUCCCCCAGCGCCACCUAAGAUGGAAAGCAAAGCAGAGCCGGCGGUGAAGAAAGAGGACACAUCUGCAACAAAAGCAACGGCAGCAGCUGCAACAAAAGCAGAGGGAUCUGCCAAGAGCAAAACUAAAGACAGUGCAUUAAGCAAACUCUUCCGUUCAAAGCCUGUUGUGGUGGAAGAGAAAAAGCCGGUUGAGGUGCAGGUCGACGUGUCUAAGAGCAGCACUCUCGAGGCCGCCGCCAAACCUGAAGAACCUCCAGCACCAAAACCAGAGGAGAAGAAACUAGAGAAAAAAUCCACUUUUGGAAGCAGGUUCAAACCCAAGGCACCAGAGCCCAAGAAGGAGACUCCAGCUGCACCUCCCGUGGCAGAAGCCGCUCCAGCAGUGAAGGCCAAAGAGGAGGCGAAACCCACCGGCCCCGCACCGCAAGCGGCCCCGGACAACAAAUCAGCCGAAAGCUCAGAGAACGCCUCCCCCAACAUGCCCCGCAGGCUGGAGAAGAGGAACUCCCUUCAGCUGUUCUUCAAAAACCUGGUUAAGUAGAAACCCAGAGAUUCUCCACAAACGUGUGAGCAUUUGCAAUCUGUGUAGUUUAACUCUUCAGCUGUAUGUAGUUUGCCGGUUAAAUGCUGUCGAGAAACAUUUUGUAAUUCUGUCCGAUAUCUAACCAUCCUGAUUAUUUUGAUAUUGCUGGCUAUUAAUCUUAAAAUCAGUGAUCUUUGAGGUGAUGAAUUAUAAUUAGUGUGGUCAAGCGCUUAAUUGCAUCCAAAACAAGUUUUUUAUUAUGUAAACAAAAACUUUUAUUUUGAAUGCGAUUAAUCGCAAUUUAUCGUUUCACAGCACUAAUUACAAUACAAAAAUCAACAUUUACCGUGUAUGAACGCUAGAUGGCAUCAAUUACCAACCUAUCUAGAUUAUAAUAAUAAUAAUCAAUUCCAAAUCAGCUUAUUUGUAUUUUAAUAAAUGCUGAUUCAAAUGUAAUAAAUAUUUAAAAGUAUUUAAUUAAAUUGGACACAAAUAUAUUGCAUGAAAUCUAAUAAUAUUGCAUGGAAUCUCAUUAUAUAAAUAUGUGAUUCUAAUCUUUGUUGCAAUGUAUAACUUCUUCAUAAAUAAAAUAUACUUUUUGUCAUGUAAUAUAAAUAGAAUUGUCCCCAAUUAUGGUUAUUUCAAGCGGGAUCGUCCCUGUCAGUUAUCUCGGACAAAAUUGUCAUGACAACUAAAUUAUCACAGAUAAUAAAGCACAGAAAUUCUCCAAAGCUGCGCUAAAAAAGGACGUGUUGGAGCAAGAUCUGGCCCAGAUGUCAGGUUUUUCUUCAGGCACCAUUAUGGAUGAGCAGUAGAAAAACACACACUUUCUUGCUAAGUUAGGAUCUCUAAUGUUGCGUUAUGCGUUGGUGUGUCUCACAGGGCCAAAAACGCCAUAGUGACAUUUCGUUUGAGAUGUGGGUUAAUUUAUUUGUUCACUAUUUACUUUAUUUGAUUACUACUUGUUAUCCUUGUUAUGCACAUUUUUUGUGACUUCCUUAAUAUACUAAUAUAUUAAGUGUGUAAUAUCUCUAAUGUUGCGUUAUGCGUUGGUGUGUCUCACAGGGCCAAAAACGCCAUUCUGAUGCCGGAGUGCAAACGGACCCUGUGGCACCCGAGAAGGCCAAAUAAAACCCCACCUUUGUUUUGAUCGCUCAUCUGUGCCAAAACCAUUGGCAGCCAUGCGCAUAAGAACAUAUUUAUCAUAGUUGGGAGGUAUUAUGCUGACUUGCAAGGCCCAAAUUUGAAGUAACUAUCAAAUAAUAAUCCCCAUGCGUUUAGUGAGAGCAGAAGCAAGUGUAAUGAUGUACCCUGUUAAGCAUGUGUUUUCGACUGGAGGGAGGAACUUGUGUUGUUUUCCUGCAGAGAACCGUGUCAGAGUUGCGUGGUGUGGCAUGAGAUGGAAAAGUGAAAGUGAAAAUGUAAUCUUGCAUUUAAGAUGAACUCACUUUUCUGUGCAUGUUAAAAUGUAAAAUAUGUUAACUGUACUAACACUAUACUCGUAUCGCAUUGCAAUUCACAUGCAUUGCGCAUUAAAACCGUUGCAUUAAGAUGCCUUUUCACCGGGACAAAGCAAACAAUAUGCAUGUUUACAUGUGAAAAGAAAUUAUUUAUGUAAUCAUACACUAUCUGAUUGUGAAAACAAUGACCCGUCGUCUGCUUCUUUCAAUCACUGAAACCUACAAAGCCAGUUGAAAUUCCACUUAAAGUGCAAAACUUCUGAAUCACUUUAAUAGAUCCGUAGAAAUCAAAAUAGUUUGUUUAACAUAAUGUCAAUCAAAUUAAGCACCAUAUACCAACUUACUUGGUUAUUUAAGUUUUCAUUAAAAAAAACCUUUUUGUUUAUUAAUCAUAACUUACUAACUAAACCACAUUACAUUUAUUGUCUUUUUAUUUGCUUGGAUGUCCAGUUCUGACCAGGGGAGACUAAAAAGAAAUUAAGCUAGAUAAAUGUUUUAUUUUCUUUCUUAUUUUCUGAGCGUAUCACUUAGAGCAGUAUGAAAUACAUAUGUGGUGUACAAUUAUGCAAUAUACAAUGUACAUUCAACUCUCUGCCGCAGUCGCAUGUGUUUUAUGAGUUUCUUCAUAUUUUUCUCUACGUUUGUAAAGAGUAGAUGGGCCUAAUUCAGAAUUCAGACUAUAUCCAUGAAUCUUUCUGUAUCUCCUUUGUUGCAUUUUUGUCUAUUUAACCAAUUUAUACAAAUAAAAUAAUCAUUUCUCUCCUCUGUAAAAUGACUCAUUCUGUAUUUAAAACUAUGAAGAAAUAUAUAUAUAUAUAUAU